GAAUGAGGAACAUCACACACGGACAAUUUACGGCACUAGAAACAACUUUUGGGAAAACUGCCAAACAGUCAUGCCUGUUACAUCUUUGCGGGAAAUAAGACUGUCACAUGCUUUGAAGCUGAUUGGAAUAGAACUCGUGCAACAUGUACCAUCAAAGGCUCAGCAGCCAGUUCUUUGGUCGCAGCAUAUGUUAUGUUCCCACAUAUAGUUGCUCUUACAGUUCUGGUGUCAUAAGUCUUUUCGAGGUAUUAAAGACCUUACGGUAAAAAAAAGUACUGAAACAGUUAUAUAGUGACGUUAUUUUGAAUGUCUGUGUGUGCGUGCCACUUUACUACAUCUAAUUAAUGAAACAACCUGCAUAAGAGCAAAGGCAGACGAACCGACACUGUAAGAUGAGGAAUAUGCUGUUACUUCAGAAGAUGAUAAGACAGAACAGACAGACUCCGUUUAAACAACAUAUUGUCGCAUAUAUCUAGACAAAAGACGAAACACGCUGCGAUACGACAUUGAUUCCCUUCUCUUAAAAUACAUCCUUGUACAACAAUGCGCAAUUAGAUGAUAGUUAUAACCACCUCAGUAUCAAAGAUCUGAUUAACGCCAUACAACAUAAACCGGCAAUUAUAUUUCAAUAAAGAGAUUUAGAGAACUCGGAAUUCGAAUUUGCUAAAGCAGGAGAUACAAGUGUUGAUGCUGUAAAAACUGAAAUAAAAGAAGUGAACCUGAAAACAAGAACAGUUUCAAAAAUGUAUUAGUCAUAUUACAAGUUAUUAAAUUAAAAGAAGUUGAAAUAUAAAAAAAAAAACAUGACAGUAAACUGAAACCUGAUAUAAACAGCCAGUUUAUUAUAUAUCACACUACUCACGUAACAGAAGGGGAAAAGCAAUGUUUCAUUAUUAAAGUAGGAGAGAAAAAAGUGAUGAAGCUAAAGGGAGAUAUAAAAACAUAAAUGCUAAAAUUGUAGAUGUCUAAUGUAUUUAAUCAUUUAUUUUCUGAUUCUGAUCGGAUUACUAAAAAUAUAAUAUGGAGUUUUGAGAAAAGGGUGCAAUUUGAAAAUACAUAAGAUACAAUAUUUUGGUAAAGGCGAUAGAUGCUCGAAGCUAUAUAAAAUAUUCUGCUGGUGAAAAAUGCCAAUGACCUUUCAGAUCAGUUCUAUAAAAUAGUGUAAUGAAUUAGCUGGUUUAUACAAAUACUUUAUGGAAUAGUAUUAAACGGAAUAACUUCAUGAAAGUGGAAAAACAGGCUCUGCUUAUAAACAAUGGGUUAAAAGAAUUCUUCGCAGACAACUAACUUGCUCUAAAUUGUUACUAUUCGAAACGAUUGACGAUUCAGUACACAAUAUAUUGAUUUUCAACAUGAUGAUCAAUAAAGAAGAAAGAAAGACUAUCGACACAAGAAAUGAACCAUACGUCAGUACGAUCUUCAGUGCUAAGUGGUUAUAAAAUAUUAAAAGCAUAUAAUAUUUCAACGGCUAAGUUUAAAUGAGGCAUCAUCUAGAAGAUUUUCAGUAUUUACUAAACUUGUAAAAUGUGUAUUUAUACUUAUAUAUUUUUUAUAUUACCCCGGACACUGUUGGUGAACGUGCAAGGUAAAAUUUAUCUAUAUUUAUUUCACUUUACGUAAUAUUUUGUAUAAAUAUACACCUAACGAAGGGCAAAAGACUGUUAAUGUAACAGUGCUUUAUUAAUCGCUGUGUGCAUUUAACAAUUUAUCUUACAUAGGAUUUUACUUUCCAUUGAUAGUUUCAAUGACUGGAAUGGUAAAACAAUAGGCAAACUAAAUGGUAUUGUUUCCUAUUUUCUUUCAUGUUUGUAUUGUUCUGGUUGUUUUAUUUUUAUUUAUUUUUUUUUCAAAUAAUUUUACGUGAGAAUGUCAUGAAAGCUAAUUUAUAAUGUUCUUGUUGUCCCACUUUCAGCAUCGCCGUUAUGUUGAAAUAUUAAUUACUAAAUGCAUAAACGAUAUGUAUAUUCAUGGGAAGUAUUUUUACAUGUUAAUGCCUGUUGUAUGUUAUUGGU
This is a long non-coding RNA of Mercenaria mercenaria, 2012 nucleotides long. RefSeq lists it as uncharacterized. The record is from RefSeq and is a predicted model, not a curated record. The transcript is spliced from 3 exons. Lineage: Eukaryota; Metazoa; Mollusca; Bivalvia; Venerida; Veneridae.